This 408-nucleotide ribosomal RNA is filed under the name uncultured bacterium. Its description in RNAcentral is "partial 16S ribosomal RNA". It matches the Rfam family "Bacterial small subunit ribosomal RNA", at positions 28 to 526 of the family's 1533-position model. The record is from RNAcentral.
GACGAACGCUGGCGGCGUGCUUAACACAUGCAAGUCGAACGAAGUGGCGAACGGGUGAGUAACGCGUAAUCAACCUGCCCUUCAGAGGGGGACAACAGGUGAACACGACUGAUAAUGCCGCAUCCUGAAGGAGGGGAUGGCGUCGGAUUAGCUAGUGGGGGGGGGAACGGCCCACCACGGCGAUGAUCAGUAGCCGGUCUGAGAGGAUGAACGGCCACAUUGGGACUGAGACACGGCCCAGACUCCUACGGGAGGCAGCAUGUGGGAAUCUUCCGCAAUUGACGAAAGUCUGACGGGGCAACGCCGCGGGAGUGAUGACGGCCUUCGGGUUGUAAAGCUUUGUUAAUCGGGACGCGGUACCGGAAUAGAAAGCCACGGCUAACUACGUGCCAGCAGCCGCGGUAAUAC